This 444-nucleotide ribosomal RNA is filed under the name uncultured bacterium. RNAcentral's name for it is "partial 16S ribosomal RNA". It matches the Rfam family "Bacterial small subunit ribosomal RNA", at positions 338 to 795 of the family's 1533-position model. The record is from RNAcentral.
CCUACGGGAGGCAGCAGUGAGGAAUAUUGGUCAAUGGCCGGAAGUCUGAACCAGCCAAGCCGCGUGAAGGACGAAGGUGCCAAGCAUUGUAAACUUCUUUUCUGAGGGACGAAGAAAGUGACGUUACCUCAGGAAUAAGCCACGGCUAACUACGUGCCAGCAGCCGCGGUAAUACGUAGGUGGCAAGCGUUAUCCGGAUUUAUUGGGUGUAAAGGGCGUGGAGGCGGGAAAGCAAGUCAGAUGUGAAAACCACGGGCUCAACCUGUGGCCUGCAUUUGAAACUGUAGUUCUUGAGUACUGGAGAGGCAGACGGAAUGCGUAGUGUAGCGGUGAAAUGCGUAGAUAUUAGGAGGAACACCAGUGGCGAAGGCGGUCUGCCGGACAGCAACUGACGCUGAGGCGCGAAAGCGUGGGGAGCAAACAGGAUUAGAUACCCUUGUAGUC